UGAGGAAUAUUGGUCAAUGGACGAGAGUCUGAACCAGCCAAGUAGCGUGAAGGAUGACUGCCCUAUGGGUUGUAAACUUCUUUUAUACGGGAAUAAAGUGAGGCACGUGUGCCUUUUUGUAUGUACCGUAUGAAUAAGGAUCGGCUAACUCCGUGCCAGCAGCCGCGGUAAUACGGAGGAUCCGAGCGUUAUCCGGAUUUAUUGGGUUUAAAGGGAGCGUAGGCGGACGCUUAAGUCAGUUGUGAAAGUUUGCGGCUCAACCGUAAAAUUGCAGUUGAUACUGGGUGUCUUGAGUACAGUAGAGGCAGGCGGAAUUCGUGGUGUAGCGGUGAAAUGCUUAGAUAUCACGAAGAACUCCGAUUGCGAAGGCAGCUUGCUGGACUGUAACUGACGCUGAUGCUCGAAAGUGUGGGUAUCAAACAGGAUUAGAUACCCUGGUAGUCCACACAGUAAACGAUGAAUACUCGCUGUUUGCGAUAUACAGUAAGCGGCCAAGCGAAAGCGUUAAGUAUUCCACCUGGGGAGUACGCCGGCAACGGUGAAACUCAAAGGAAUUGACGGGGGCCCGCACAAGCGGAGGAACAUGUGGUUUAAUUCGAUGAUACGCGAGGAACCUUACUCGGGCUUGAAUUGCAACUGAAUGAUGUGGAGACAUGUCAGCCGCAAGGCAGUUGUGAAGGUGCUGCAUGGUUGUCGUCAGCUCGUGCCGUGAGGUGUCGGCUUAAGUGCCAUAACGAGCGCAACCCUUAUCGAUAGUUACCAUCAGGUUAUGCUGGGGACUCUGUCGAGACUGCCGUCGUAAGAUGUGAGGAAGGUGGGGAUGACGUCAAAUCAGCACGGCCCUUACGUCCGGGGCUACACACGUGUUACAAUGGGGGGUACAGAAGGCAGCUACACGGCGACGUGAUGCUAAUCCCUAAAGCCUCUCUCAGUUCGGAUUGGAGUCUGCAACCCGACUCCAUGAAGCUGGAUUCGCUAGUAAUCGCGCAUCAGCCACGGCGCGGUGAAUACGUUCCC
Molecule: ribosomal RNA, 1017 nt
Filed under: uncultured organism
Description: bacterial SSU rRNA
Rfam family: Bacterial small subunit ribosomal RNA
Source: RNAcentral